ACGUAGGGAGCAAGCGUUAUCCGGAUUUAUUGGGCGUAAAGGGUGCGUAGGCGGCUUGUUAAGUAUGAGAUUAAAGCCCGAGGCUUAACCUCGGUUCGUUUCAUAAACUGGCAGGCUUGAGUGUGGCAGAGGUAAACGGAAUUUCUAGUGUAGCGGUUAAAUGCGUAGAUAUUAGAAGGAACACCAGUGGCGAAGGCGGUUUACUGGGCCAUAACUGACGCUGAGGCACGAAAGCGUGGGGAGCAAAUAG
RNAcentral lists this ribosomal RNA (250 nucleotides) under uncultured bacterium. RNAcentral describes it as "partial 16S ribosomal RNA". It matches the Rfam family "Bacterial small subunit ribosomal RNA", at positions 525 to 775 of the family's 1533-position model. The record is from RNAcentral.